UACGAAGGGGGCGAGCGUUGUUCGGAUUUACUGGGCGUAAAGGGCGCGUAGGCGGCCCUCCUUGUCGCGUGUGAAAGCCCCGGGCUCAACCUGGGAAUGGCGCGCGAAACGGGCGGGCUUGAGUUCGGGAGAGGAGCGUGGAAUUCCCAGUGUAGAGGUGAAAUUCGUAGAUAUUGGGAAGAACACCGGUGGCGAAGGCGGCGCUCUGGACCGAGACUGACGCUGAGGCGCGAAAAGCGUGGGGAGCAAACAGG
RNAcentral lists this ribosomal RNA (254 nucleotides) under uncultured bacterium. Its description in RNAcentral is "partial 16S ribosomal RNA". It matches the Rfam family "Bacterial small subunit ribosomal RNA", at positions 524 to 776 of the family's 1533-position model. The record is from RNAcentral.